ACUUGGUCUUGUUUCAGUUCUGCCAGAUGAACUUGAACCUGCCCUUGCUCUGCUCCCCGGGGCCACAGCCCGCAGGCCGUGGCACAGCCGUCCCUCCUGUGAUGCUGUCUCCUCGCCCUGCUGCCUGCUGGCCACAGCUGCCUACGGAUCAGCAUCGCCCUGUCCUGCGGAGGGGUGUCCUGAAGCCCUGGGGUGACUCCUGCACAAGAGAGACCACAAGCCACAUCCUGGGAGAGGGCGCAGCAACCCAACUUUGCACCCAGCCUGAGAUAAAGUGCAGUGUCUCGGGGACACCCUUUCCCGUUCUUAGGAGAGUACCUCAAGCCUCCAGCCAUCAGCUCCCCCGUGAUUGAGGCACCCAAUUAAAGUCAACAACGCACACCGACGUGUCGGCUGAGGACCGCAGCUCCCUCCCUUCCACUGUAUGUUGGACAUGAGCUUCGAGGCUUCCACCGCCAUCUGCAAACCAAGACUCUCACCCCGCUGACGCUCUUCAAGUCUGAGUGGCAUCUGGUGCCAGUGGGUGAGCUAUCCUUUCCAAGCCGAGUCAGACCCAUGGAGUUUUCUGCCACCUGCAGUCAGUAGCGGACAUAACUGUAAACUCAGCGGGCAUCAGCACCCUCCCCGCUCCCCAGCUAAGAAUGCCCUUUCACUUCAGCUGCCUACCCCGACACACAGGAUGCACCAGCUAGUCGGGGUGAGAGGCAAAUGGGUAACGCUGCAGCCAUUGCGGACCACGCAGUGGCCCUGGGGAGGCUGACCUCACACCUGCCCCUCAGUUCCAUAGCUUCUCCACUGACUCCUACCCUGCACAUGGGAAGAGGCAGCAGCGUUUGGGCCUUCGAGGAGCAAACCUGGCUCUGCAGAGUGCUUUCUUCUCCUCUGCUGCCUUGAAUUGUUUUUACAAACAUGUUUAAUUACCUAAGAAGUUAUGAUCGGUGCUGUUAAACAGACGCUGUGCCAUGAUGGAAGUGCUCUCUAGCUACACCUAUCUCCUCUGCCUGCAACACCCUCAGCUGCCCCCUCACACAGCUACUUGAAAUGCAUAUAGUGUAGCCGAGGAGCUGAGUUCUUCAUUGCAUUGAAUUUCAGUUAAUUAGAAUUCAAUAAACACAUCUGAAUACUCAUUACUGUAUUGGACGGCACAGAAACAGAAAAAUCAGAUUUUUUCCCCCCACAGUGCUAGGGAAACUCAGGGCCUUGGGCACUCUACCCCUGAGCUACAGCCCCAGGCCUGGAACAAUUAAAUUAUAUAUAUAUAUAUCGCCAGACACCUGUAACCCCAGCAGCUCAGGAGGCUGAGGCAGGAGGAUCGCAAGUUCAAAGCCAGCCUCAGCAACUUAGCAAGGCCCUGAGCAACUUGGAAAGACCUUGUCUCUAAAUAAAAAAAUAAAAAUGG
This is a long non-coding RNA of Marmota monax (woodchuck), 1399 nucleotides long. RefSeq lists it as uncharacterized. The record is from RefSeq and is a predicted model, not a curated record. The transcript has 2 exons. Lineage: Eukaryota; Metazoa; Chordata; Mammalia; Rodentia; Sciuridae.